This 507-nucleotide ribosomal RNA is filed under the name uncultured bacterium. RNAcentral describes it as "partial 16S ribosomal RNA". It matches the Rfam family "Bacterial small subunit ribosomal RNA", at positions 30 to 523 of the family's 1533-position model. The record is from RNAcentral.
AUUGAACGCUGGCGGCAUGCCUUACACAUGCAAGUCGAACGGCAGCGGGGGAGAAGCUUGCUUUUCCUGCCGGCGAGUGGCGAACGGGUGAGUAAUACAUCGGAACGUGCCCUGUAGUGGGGAUAACUAGUCGAAAGAUUAGCUAAUACCGCAUACGACCUGAGGGUGAAAGUGGGGGACCGCAAGGCCUCAUGCUAUAGGAGCGGCCGAUGUCUGAUUAGCUAGUUGGUGGGGUAAAGGCCUACCAAGGCGACGAUCAGUAGCUGGUCUGAGAGGACGAUCAGCCACACUGGGACUGAGACACGGCCCAGACUCCUAUGGGAGGCAGCAGUGGGGAAUUUUGGACAAUGGGCGAAAGCCUGAUCCAGCAAUGCCGCGUGUGUGAAGAAGGCCUUCGGGUUGUAAAGCACUUUUGUCCGGAAAGAAAUGGCUCUGGUUAAUACCUGGGGUCGAUGACGGUACCGGAAGAAUAAGGACCGGCUAACUACGUGCCAGCAGCCGCAGUAA